Haemorhous mexicanus (house finch) is the source of this 4723-nucleotide long non-coding RNA. RefSeq lists it as uncharacterized. NCBI's taxonomy places the organism in Eukaryota, Metazoa, Chordata, Aves, Passeriformes, Fringillidae. The transcript has 3 exons. The record is from RefSeq and is a predicted model, not a curated record.
AUAAAUUAUUUUAGAAACAUGUGUAGAUAUAUUUAGAGGGAGAUUUGACCCAUGUUUUUACCAGGUGAGAGAUCCAAUAUAAAAGGAAGUCACAGUGGUAAAGAAUGUAAGGUUGUCAUCAGGCCACAGAAAAUCUCUUCACAAAUUCUUUAUUUCCACGUUGGUGUUCAGGAACAGAGGAAUGCAAGAUCAAACCAGCUCACAUGCUGCAACACUUAAAGUAGCCUGUUUUAAAAAUAGAAAUCAGAUCUGAUCUCUCUUUGGAAGUAAAAAAAAGUAUUGUGCAGAAAGUUACAAGAAGUUCUGGAUCAGAUUAUGUGGUCAGCAGCCUAAGUGGCUUAAAAUGAUCAAAACUCCAGUAAAAGAAAAAGUCUUUCAAAAGACUGUUGAGAUUGCUCUGGAUAUUUGUGUUCGAGUGGUCACAGCGUGACCAACACCCAGCCCAGAGCAGCUGAAGUGGAGGAGCAGGGCAGCCACCCAUGGGGUGAAACAUCACUGUCACUGGAGAGUGAAUUACAGCCUGGCAGUCAGUGACAGGUGACACCAAAUUACAGCCACUGUGCCAAAGGAAAAGACUCCAAGGGGCUCCUGGCUUGGAGCCCACCUUGGUGGGAGCUGUGUCUCUGUCUGGGAUGCACACAGGAUGUCCUCACUGGCUCCAAGGGGUGGUUCCCGUGGCUGAACAUCUCCUGGGAGUCAGGAAAAGCAGAGAGCAGUGGAAGAGGCAGCAGCCUGGCAGCUAAUAAACAGCACGUUACUCUGCAUCUCAUAAAUCUCCACCAAGUUCGUUUAUUCUCCUCUGAGAAUGAAUAACUAAUGAGAAGCCUCCUCUUGCCAGUUAUUGUGGCACGACACAGAGCGGGUUGGAUGUGGAGCUGCUAUUAAUAGCACUGAACGAGCUGCUAAUUGGGCAGUUAUGUAAUGGCUUUGUUAUGAAACCUAGUUUGGGUUUGACACCUUCUGUUUGCUAAAAACAACAGUAAAACCCCCAAACAAACCCAGGGUUAGCAGUGCGUGACAUGAAAUAAAGGCUGAAUAAUUACCAAUGUUUCAAAACUCAAACAGAAUGAAAAAGGGGGGAAAAAUCAAUUUGUUUCUCUGAAUCGCAGCAGAAGUGAGCUGGAAGCAAAUCGUACCACAGAUCUGCUGUUCAAAGGGAUACUUCAAAGUAACUUUCUCUAAUACCUGCCCUGCAAAUGCUGACAAAAAUCCUCCAAGCGACCUGUUUCUGCAACUUGCAAAGUCUCAGAAAGUAUUUCUUUAAUUUAAAAAAGUUGUGCUUUGAAUGAGCACAGACAGAACAUAUUUGAAGGAGAAAGAAGGACCAGAAAAUGCCUGUGUGACACACUCUGGUACAAAUCGUGCUCGAGGAUGAGGCACGAAUCCCUGCUCUUGUAAGUGACAGUAGAUAACCUAUAGAGUUUGACAUUUUAAAAGUAACUUAUAAAAAAAAAAAGGGAGAGAAACAGGUGGGGAUGACAUUUUGUUCCCUGCUGUACAGAAGGAGAGAAGAUUGCAGUGCAUUAGGAAGGAAGCUUUUAUCCAGGGUGGCCCUUUGGAGUGGCUCUGCUCCUCCUUACUCUGAAGGCUGGACAUCAGUGAUGCAAUUUACAGCCCUGGGAGCUGCUCCUCCUGGUGAAACCCAGCUACUGUCCCCUGCUUGUCAGGUGCUUCUCCUCUGGAUACACCAAACACAGCAGCAUCCAGAGCCUGCAAGAAGGAUCCCUACAAAGUGUUUUUUGCACCCUUUGCAUUGCCUGCCUGCAGUGAUGGUACAUCUACUACAAUUCCCUGUGUAUCCUGCUGAUCCUUGUUUUUCCCAAGAUAAGGCAACCUAAGCCUUCUUGUUGGAAAUGCCUGGAAGUGUUUACAAAGCACUCCCCAAAAGCAUUCAGAAGGAAGGCUGGGCACGAUUUCAGUGCUGGCAUGCCAAUGUGGGCUCCUGUGUUUCCUGCUUCCCUUGCAGCCCUGGCAGCCUCUGUGGAGUUUGUCAGCCAAGAUCACACUUAGUUCCUCACCUUGAUGAUAUUGAGGUUGUCACAGCCAGCUUUUCCACAUGCAGAUCUUUCUCUUGGGUUUACAUGGCAAGGUAAUACUAAAAUGAGUCCUACCAGGUCAGAGAAAUGCACAUAUUUCCCAGAGUCUCUCACCACUGAACGAGAAGUAACAAACCCCUGGGAACUCUGGAAGGGGAACCAUUUAUGCUUUCUGAGUCAGCCAGUCACACAGGCUUCAAGACUGGUGCUCAAACUUCCAGAAAUCACAGAAUGGUUUGGGUUGGAGGGGAUCUCAAAGCUCAUCUCAUUCCAAACUCCUGCCGUGGGCAGGGACACCUUCCAUAGACCACGUUGCUCCAAGCCCCAGGAAACACUUGAUUUACAGCUUGAAAUGUCUUUUUUUAGUAGUGUUUAUAUUUCAAAUCCAUGUCAUGAAAGCCAGUGGCAAAAGGUCGUAUUCAUGGAGUGUUACUGACUCUAAUUGCUUGUAAAAAGGACUGUGUAAACAAUGGAAUAUUUUGUUUGCUAAGAAUUCAUUAAAAAUUACUCAGCUCAAAAUAACCAGGACAAGUGCAUUAAAAAGAAAUCACUCUCUUCAAAAGCAUUAUUUUAAAGGAUUAUUCUUAAUUAAGAAUACUUCAAAUUAAAAAAAAAGAGAGAGAAGAAAAAUGUGUUCUUUAAAAUUCUGAGCUGAAACUUGAAUCCUAUCAGAGCAUUCCUUUUUUGUUUUUCCAGUGCAAACAAAUGAAAACAUCUGUUUUGCUCAAGCCUGUACUUUUGUCCUUGCCCCACACAGAAAGAUAAAAAAUAAGGCAUUAAUUUUUCAUUUCUUUCUCCCUGUGGAGCUUCCAGAGGCAGGAGUUAAGUGGCCAGCAAUGCCUCGCAGCCUGUCAGGAGUGAUGCUUUUUUAGGCCAGAGAGAGCCUUUGGUCUCCUGCAUAGCAAGAGCGUGACAGAAUCACUGAGCUAUCAAAUCAGUUAUGCUGCCAGCAUCUUCCUGCUCCACUGAGGAGGGAAUUAAUCCCACCUAAGAGUGCUCCAGAGGCAGAGAGCACACACACUGCCCUGCUCGGGCAGCAGGGUGCUUGCCAGGAGUGUCACUCGUGGAGAAAGAAUUCCUUUCCUUUGGGGAACCUUCAAGGAGUUAUGUGGUGGGACAGCAGCAGCGAGAGAACUUCUCCAGGGGGAGGAAACAAGCCCUGGGGCAGGUGCAGCAGCUCCACCAUGGGUCUCCAUAACCCAUCAGAGGCCAGGCAAGCCUGGGACUGGCAGCAGCUUCUGGAGUCAGCACUGGUCCCAUGGGAGGUGGUGCUGAGGGAGCUGCUCCAGCAGAAGGCCUUGGGACAGGCUUUAGGGCACCCUCAUCACUUGGAAAGGAGGGAGUGAGUCUCUGGCACGAUGUCACCAGUCCUUCUGCCCUCCAUUUAUCCAAGUCCAGCAGCUCCAGUGAGAAAACGAGAGAGGUGCAACAUGUGGUGCAGCAGAGAAUUCCACACUGACCUAAAUCUGUGCUUCCAGUUCCAGCUGUGGCAAUGAACUGCAAACCCAUGCAUUUUCUGUCUGAAUUCUCCCAGUUGAUCCUCUUUUUUUACGCUGUUCUUACAUCUUUCCUGGUUUCCAUGUACAUUUUUGAUCCUUCCAUUGCUUUACUGCAGUGAUGUCCCUCUGACUGCUCCACUGCUGUCCAUUAGUUUCCCCAAGAGCUUUGCCCCAGCAAUAUGUGCAGCCCUGGGCAGGACCAAGAUUUCUGUUAAAGACCAUCUGCUCAUAAAGUGAGUGUUCAUCUACACCCCAGAUUGCUCAGGUGUUCUGGGCAUUUCCUGCCCAGGCCUCUGCUGUAAGUGCCUGCUGCACCUGGUCACAAAUGAAACAUAGAUUAUUCCUAGCAGCCCUCAAAAUGAGCAGUACACACACAAAUGACCUCUUGGAAGCUCUCUUGACUCCUGCAAAAUGUAAGAAAAUUGAAUGUCUGUAUUUGCAAGGUCAGAAAUUAAACGAAAUCUCACUUCAGCUGUCUAAAGCCAUACAAAGCAAAGACCUCACUGAAUAGCAAACUCCUAAAAUAAAUACAAUUUCCUUUACCACAAUAAAUGUUUCAGUAUAAAGUUGAAUAUAUAAUUCAUUCCACUUAUCUGUAACAUUUUGUUAAACUUCAGGAAUUUUAAGUGAACGACUUCAGUUUCUUACAGGCUUGAACUUCUCUCUUGAAAACCUUUUGGAGAAGAAAAAUGUGCCCUGGGAUCACUUUGAAGCAUUUUUUUGGUUCAUUGUUGAGAUCUGACCUUCUUCAACAGCAGAUAAAUUGUUUCUGUGGCCUUAAUGGAAAUCUGAAGCUCUACCCAGCAUUUAGAAUUUCCCCACACGGACCGGAUCCUUGGCUGCCAUCCUGCCUGCUUUGGUCUGCUCAGGAGGAAUUUGGGGAAUGUACCAAAUGUUUAAACAGCAGCUACAAAUUCAGGUUUUCUUCAGCUCAAGAGGGAACUACAAUUAAGGCAUGAUUGUUGUAAGGAGAAAAAACCCUCUCAGCUGGAGGGUUUCCAAGCUACUCAUCAGUUCCCUAGUGUUUCUCUUACAGAAAUUCAUCUAGUCCUGUGAUAUCAGUCUUGUAAACAAAGACUUCCUUUACUUACCUCCUGUGAUAAAAUUCAUGCUUGAUAUUGUUCUAGGAACUCCUUGGCCCCUUCUUGUCCUUUUAACAAGAUUGGGAAAUGUGGAAAAAAAGAAAAA